GACGAACGCUGGCGGCGUGCCUAAUACAUGCAAGUAGAACGCUGAAGAGAGGAGCUUGCUCUUCUUGGAUGAGUGGCGAACGGGUGAGUAACGCGUAGAUAACCAGCCUUGUAGCGGGGGAUAACUAUUGGGAACGAUAGCUAAUACCGCAUAACAAUGGAUGCCACAUGUCAUAUAUUUGAAAGGGGCCAUUGUUCCACUACAAGAUGGACCUGCGUUGUAUUAGCUAGUAGGUGAGGUAAUGGCUCACCUAGGCGACGAUACAUAGCCGGCCUGAAAGGGUGAUCCGGCAACCUGGGAACGAGACACGGCCCAGGCUCCCUCGGGAGGCAGCAAGAGGGGAACAUCGGCAAUGGGGGCAACGCUUACCGAACCACGCCCGGUGGGGGGAGGAGGGUCUCCGAUCUUAAAGCUCUUUUGUAAGUGAAGGACGGGUGUGAGGGUGGAAAGUUCACAUUGUGACGGUACCUUACGAGAAAGCGCCGGCUAACUACGUG
Molecule: ribosomal RNA, 497 nt
Filed under: uncultured bacterium
Lineage: Bacteria
Description: partial 16S ribosomal RNA
Rfam family: Bacterial small subunit ribosomal RNA
Source: RNAcentral